AUAAAACAUACAGUAUAAACAGAUAUAUAUUUUGUUAUGACAUGUUAUUUACUUUACUUUAUUUUGAUGACUCAUUGUUUACUAAUAAAACCUGUCAUAGUGUUGAGACAUUAUGUAUGUGAAGUUAUUUAUAGACUACAGUUUUCUAGAAGGUUCCAUAAACAGGAUGUUUACACUAUUUUAAAGUCUGGGUUAUUUUGGAUUUUUCCAGACUCUUUUUUUUUUUAUACAUGAAAGUGCUGGAACAUUCCAUGUUUUAAAUAGGAAGCUGUCUGGUGACAGUGGAAAACCUAAAGUAAGAUCUUAUUGAAAAACUUGCCUGUAUUUCUUAAAAGCAAAAUAUUACCAGUUUGGACAUUAAACAUUUCAUGGAUAGACAUUAAUAUUGUGGAUUAAAAAAAGAGUAUUUAUACUCUUUGAAUAUAAAAUAUUCAGUUUGGACUGUGUGUGAAAUAUUUGGAAUGAAUACUUAUUGGAUUUGAAUAUGAAGAAGAAGAAGAAGAAGAAGAAGAAGAAGAAUCUUUAUUAUGCAAUAAAUCAAACAAGAUCCAUCAGCAUAUCUUCAAUAUACAAACAAAUUAGCUGCAGACCUGAGUCACAUGCAAAACUGACAGGUUACAUCUUUUCGCCCAUGUUAUUCAUGCUUUGGCUACGUAAUGAUCGUUUUGUUGUCCAGUUACUAAUUGUUUUGACAAGCUGACUAAAUAGAAAUCAUGACAUGUUUAUUACAAAAAGACUCAAUUAUGUGGUGACGCAGCGUGUUUCAUGUUUACUCAUCUAAUGGGCAGAUUUCCUUAAAUACCGCUAUUUUGAGAAAGAACUUCAGUAUCACUUUUGUACUCAGAUAGGUUGUAGGUACGUAUGCCUGAUUCUCGCAUACAUUAUUAAAGUUAGUUUAAGACAUGGGCAAUUAAUGUUGAAGUAUUUAUGUUAAAGAAUAGAAGUUCUGUUAAAUAACUGCGACUAUGUUAGGGAAUAAUAAAGAAAGACAAUGAUGUUUAUAUAUUAUCUUAGAACUUUUAGUACAAUAUUAAAUAGUAGCUAUUGAAGAGAACAGUUGCUGUUGUUGCUGUAGUUUAAUAAUUUUCACCUGUAAUGAUUAUUCUUUUUUUAAUGUUACAGACAAUUAAUAUUCAUAGAUUGUUCUUUUUGAUAUAAUAAAAACACAAAAACUUUCUAUUAUA
Long non-coding RNA from Mercenaria mercenaria, 1184 nucleotides. RefSeq lists it as uncharacterized. NCBI's taxonomy places the organism in Eukaryota, Metazoa, Mollusca, Bivalvia, Venerida, Veneridae. The transcript is spliced from 2 exons. The record is from RefSeq and is a predicted model, not a curated record.